ACAGACAAAUACUUCCAGAGGUCAAUCACCUUAUCCGCCAACACAUGGUCAAAAUUCAGGUUCCUAUCCAAGUUCACCCCAACAGCAGCCGGGCGGCCCGCCACCGCCACCUCCGCAAUCAUCAAAUCAGGGUACGGCUACUGCACAAUACUCACCGUAUCCACAGCGGUAUCCCACACCGCCGGGGCCGGCGACAGGCCCGAAUCAUCGAACUGCCUACUCACAACAUCAGUAUCCUGAACCGAAUCGACCUUGGCCCGGCGGCACAUCGCCCGCACCUAGUCCUGGGCCUGGUGGCCAUCCGCAUCCCCCAGCAUCACCGCAUCAAUCACAGCAUGGCGGCCCACCGCCCAGCAGUAGUCCUGGACAUGCACCGAGUCCUUCGCCACAGCCAUCGCAGGCGUCACCAUCACCACAUCAG
This is a long non-coding RNA of Rhagoletis pomonella (apple maggot), 421 nucleotides long. RefSeq lists it as uncharacterized. The record is from RefSeq and is a predicted model, not a curated record. The transcript has 2 exons. NCBI's taxonomy places the organism in Eukaryota, Metazoa, Arthropoda, Insecta, Diptera, Tephritidae.